RNAcentral lists this ribosomal RNA (506 nucleotides) under uncultured bacterium. RNAcentral's name for it is "bacterial SSU rRNA". It matches the Rfam family "Bacterial small subunit ribosomal RNA", at positions 29 to 524 of the family's 1533-position model. The record is from RNAcentral.
AACGAACGCUGGCGGCGCGUUUUAAGCAUGCAAGUCGCACGGUAGACGGGUUUCGGCCUGUUGAGAGUGGCGAACGGGUGAGUAACACGUAGGUGAUGUACCCUGAAGUUGGGGAUAGCUCAUGGAAACAUGGGGUAAUACCGAAUAAUCCGGCAGUUUCUGUACUGUCGGGAAAGGGGCUUUCGGGCCUCGCUUUUGGAUCAGCCUGCGGCUUAUUAGCUUGUUGGUGAGGUAAAGGCUCACCAAGGCGACGAUAAGUAGCCGGCCUGAGAGGGUGACCGGCCACAUUGGGACUGAGAUACGGCCCAGACUCCUACGGGAGGCAGCAGCUAAGAAUCUUCCGCAAUGGGCGCAAGCCUGACGGAGCGACGCCGCGUGCACGAUGAAGGCAGAGAUGUUGUAAAGUGCUUUUAUGGGUGAGGAAUAACAGAGGCAGGAAAUGGUCUUUGGAUGACGUGAACCCAUGAAUAAGCUCCGGCUAAUUACGUGCCAGCCGCCGCGGUAAC